GGAGAGUGGGGGAUGCGAAACGGACUCCGUCCCCUGCAGAGCCGGUGCCUUCGGGGGCUGCACCGCCGCGCGCUCCCACCCGCAAGGUUUGCAGGACACACCAAAGAACAUUCCCCUCGUGCAAGAGAGAAAAUGAAACUCUCUCCUGGUCUCUAUCAGGAAAGCUAAAAUUCCCCCCUUUCCUUCAAGUUUCCCAAACCUUGUGAAGAUGAUUUUCAGAUCAAAGAUAACCAGAAGAAAAGAACAGCCUUCUAAGAGUGAGGCCCUCAAGACAUUUCCAAACUGCCUGGACAAAGGCUUGGAGUGACUACAAUAGUGAACCAUCCUGCCUUGGACCCGAAUCUAGAUUAAUGACCUAAUACAUCUUUUCCAACUCUGACUGCCAUGGUUUUAUGAGCAUCAAGAACUGGGUGUCUGCCAUUGUCAACAAGUAGAACUUCUUCAGGGCUUGAACAUCCAUAGAAGCUCAAGUACCCCCCAAAACAGAGAUCGCAGAGUCUCCCAGGGCUCUGGGUGUGACCUCUAGCUUUCACCUGUGACACAAACUACUCUUUGGCAGGAUAGUCCUUAAAGGAAAGGAAGUGUGCCUGUACCCUCCUCUGUUAUCUCCAUUUAAGAACUCUGAGUCAGAGCAGGGCAGAUCUCUGAGAAGCCAAUUAAGCUUAGCUUAAGGGCCUGUCCUUUUCAGGGGCCCCUUCAGAAGUGCUGUACCUAAUUUUGUAUUUGCAAUUUUGCAUUCUUCUUAACAAAGAGUCCCCUUAAUUGUAUAAGCUAUAGCUGCCCAUCCCCCUCACCCCCACUCACUGCCCCCCCACCCAGUGCCAUAAUAGGAAUCUGCCCCUGAGCUAGGUUGAUUGCACCAAAUCUUAGUUUGAUAAAAGUGUAAAAAUUAAACACAAACUCCCUUCAUCUUUUUUUUUUUAUAAGUUUAUUUAUUUAUUUAUUUAUGAUAGCCACACGGAGAGAAAGAGAGAGGCAGAGACACAGGCAGAGGGAGAAACAGGCUCCAUGCACCAGGAGCCCAACGUGGGAUUCGAUCCCAGGUCUCCAGGAUCGCGCCCUGGGCCAAAGGCAGGCGCUAAACCGCUGUGCCACCCAGGGAUCCCUCUUCAUCUUUUAUGCCAUCCCACUCCUUACCCCACCUCUGGCAAGUCACGGUUAAAGUGACCUCUUAGAGUCUCGGGUCCUCAGUUGUCCUCUCAACUACAGCAGUGCUUCAAACACUGGUUGCAUUUUAAAUUUAUUCUCCUUAACUCCACUUUAAAAGCAUAUUUCAUUGUGGGUUAAUUAUUACAAUGGCUUGUAGACUUGAAACGUCAGAAGAAUUUCCAUGAGUGGCCCCUCCUGGGUUAAGCAGCAUCCCUGCUCCAAUUUCAGUGAAGUUUUGUUUUCCAGUAAAGUUAAUGGGUUUGGACUAGCCUUCUACACUUUUGUAACGGGGUUCUCCAGGGACCAAGCUGCAGAAACAUGUAUUUUUUCUGAUUACAAAAGUAAUGGCCUAUCUAUGUAAAUAUAUAUACACACACAUAUAAAUAACUUAAAACAUGGUAGUAAUAUAUAACAUUGAAAGUGAAAAUCUUCCAUAAUCCCACACAGCUGAGAAAACCAGUUAACGUUUUUUUUUUUCAAGGCAUAUAUUAAAAUUUCAUUUAUUAUUUUACAAAAGAUGGGAUUAUAGUUCAACUUUGAAGCAUGCUACUUUCCACCUAGCAAUAGGUCUUAGACAUCUUUCCAUGCCGGUCUGACAAAAGUGAUCUUUUUAAAAUCUUCUUUUUAAUGGCUCCAUGGUAUUGUACUGGAUGGCCAAACCAUACUAUCUUUAACCAAUUGCCUGUUAAUGGACGUUUGGGUUCUUUCCAGUUUUCCCUCUACCAAAUAUUCUUGCAAACAGCAUUUUACACUUACAUCUUUGAGCCGUCGUAGGAGUAUUUCUCUAUGAUGAAUUCCCAGAAGGUGAAUUAUUAUUGGGUCAGAGGGUAUGAGCAUUUCAUUUUUAACAGCUCUUGCCAAAUUGCCCUCCAAUAAUUUUAUACCGAUUUACACCUUCAACCACACUGUAAGAAGGAGCCUGUUUCCCCAUCCCCCUUAGCAACACUAAAACCAUGCAAUUUAGGGAUGUCUGAUGUGAGUUAGGAGUUAAGAGGUUCAGCCUGUGGAGUUUUUUGCCUUUGUGAAAAGCUAACAAAGACAUCAAAAGUCUCCCCCUUUCCUUGGUGAACCCCCUGCUCCGAGUGAGCCAAUACCCAGACAGACAUCUAGCUAAUGUGAGAGGUAAAAAUUCUAACACCUAAUGCUUGUAUCUAGCUGGAUUUUGUCAGAGAUAAUUUGAGUGUAUAAGCAAAUGUGUUAGUUAUAGAAUACUUAAUAACUUAAUUAUUCAAGAAAUAUAAAUCGGUCCUGACCUUAGCACUGCUGUUUUAGUGUAAACAACACAUUUAAUCUUAGAGCAUCAGUAUGUUUACAUGUGCAAAGUUCCUUGAUUUCAUCUUUACGUUUAUUGGUGCAGAGUAAUUUGAAAAAUCUAUUCUUUAAAGAUAGUGAAAGGUGGCUUUGAUUCAGCCAAUUAAAGAAGAGCAAGUUUUGCCAAUAUCCAGGCUUCAGGAACUUGUUUUGAGGAUUGCUAUGGUUUACAACCCUCAGAAUUAGGAUCAUUGGGUAUCAGACAGGAAAAAACCUUUAGGGGUUAUCCAGUCAAAAGAUUUUGAAACUCUGCUCCACAAAGCCUUGGGGUUGCUUCAGGGAGACAGAAGGGGUUGGUGGAAGAUGAGGCAGCCCAUGGUUAAAGGUUCAUGGUAUUCCAAACCUAAUUGCACCACAAGACCCUGCUUUGAUCUGCUUCAUAUGGUGAGUUAUAUAGUAUGCUAUCUGGAGCAAGUUGAUCUCUUAUUUUCCUCUUCUGUAAAACAGAGACGAUAACGGUGUCUAUUUAAGAGUAGUGAGAAUUAAAUCAAGUAAUACUAUACAUGUAUAGGGUUUAGCCCAGUGCCCCGCACAUGCCAACGACUCAAGAAAUGUUUGCUAAUCUAUUAUUUAAGAUUUUCCUUUGAAAAAGGAUUCCGUUGCUUACGUUUCAAAAUGACCUGUUUGCUUUUGCAUCUAUAAAAUAAAGUGAUUACUUUG
Molecule: long non-coding RNA, 3120 nt
Organism: Canis lupus familiaris (dog)
Lineage: Eukaryota; Metazoa; Chordata; Mammalia; Carnivora; Canidae
Exons: 3
Source: RefSeq, a predicted model, not a curated record